This 253-nucleotide ribosomal RNA is filed under the name uncultured bacterium. RNAcentral's name for it is "partial 16S ribosomal RNA". It matches the Rfam family "Bacterial small subunit ribosomal RNA", at positions 524 to 776 of the family's 1533-position model. The record is from RNAcentral.
UACGUAGGUGGCAAGCGUUAUCCGGAUUUAUUUGGCGUAAAGGGAACGCAGGCGGUCUUUUAAGUCUGAUGUGAAAGCCUUCGGCUUAACCGGAGUAGUGCAUUGGAAACUGGGAGACUUGAGUGCAGAAGAGGAGAGUGGAACUCCAUGUGUAGCGGUGAAAUGCGUAGAUAUAUGGAAGAACACCAGUGGCGAAAGCGGCUCUCUGGUCUGUAACUGACGCUGAGGUUCGAAAGCGUGGGUAGCAAACAGG